ACACACACACACACACACACACACACACACACACACACACACACACACACACACACACACACACACACACACACAUACACACGCACACACACACACACACACACACACACACACACACACACACACACACACACACACACACACACACACACACACACACAGAAUAGUCAAAGAGGCCACAAGGAGACAGACAUUUAAAAGAUAGAACAGGAACAGAUCAUUUGUUGCAGUUUGUUUUUAUUUUACUUCACCAGAUACACAGGCAUUCCUGCCUUCUAGACUCUCGGUAAAGGAAAAUAAAGCAUAUUCUGCGAGGAAAAUGAUGUGAACAUGAAUUGACGAUACUAUUAUGAGUGAUGAAGAUUCGAUUGAAUGGAGGGAGAUGGAUGCCGGCGGCGACCGCAUCAUCUAAGGCAUUGGCCAAGCCUACAGCAGUGGCUGUGUUCCACCUGACGACUUGUGGAUAACUUUCAAAAUAUUGCUGUUGAAGAA
Molecule: long non-coding RNA, 492 nt
Organism: Sycon ciliatum
Lineage: Eukaryota; Metazoa; Porifera; Calcarea; Leucosolenida; Sycettidae
Exons: 2
Source: RefSeq, a predicted model, not a curated record